Long non-coding RNA from Neoarius graeffei (lesser salmon catfish), 3702 nucleotides. RefSeq lists it as uncharacterized. The record is from RefSeq and is a predicted model, not a curated record. Lineage: Eukaryota; Metazoa; Chordata; Actinopteri; Siluriformes; Ariidae. The transcript is spliced from 3 exons.
AUUCACAUUCACUCACAUGUCAAACACUGAAAUCUGUUCCAGAGUCAGAGACACACACACAAACGUGAUUUCAGGAUAAUUUUGAUAAAAAAGCUUAAAGUAAUGAAAGAUUAUUUCUGAUUUGAACGUGAACAUUAGUGUGAGUACUGCGUCAGUUAUGUUGGGUUCAGUGUGUAGUGACGAGUUCAUAAAGAAAAGACACACAUCAGUGUUCAGGACUCGGAGUGAAGUUCACACUUCCCAGGGUUUAUAUAUUUAAUAAAAACUAAAACUAUUAGUGAAUAAAUAAUUUUGCUAACUAAAGUAAAAAUAAAAACAGUUUUUUAAAAUUAAAAAUAACAAUUCCAGUGAACAAUGCAACACAAACUAAAAUGAAAUAGAAGUGCAGGUAAAAUCAGGUUCGGUUUUGUUUGGGUUCCCCUCGACUCAGCCAUGCACGCAUUCCAGAAGGUGGCAGUAAUGUGAUACCGGCUGCCGUAAAACAACAAGGAAGAAGAAGCUGCUCAGUGUGUAAAUAUAAAGCCUAUAAUACACUAGAAUCAUAGAUCUUUGAGAGAAUAUACCACAAUAGAGCGACAUAAUUCCUCUCUGUGGGUGCAAAAGUGGAACAGUUCCAGUCUCAUAAGUGGGCGUGUCACUGUGCGUCACAGACGGACCUCCUCAUUGCCAUGAAUGGAGCGCGGGAUCGUUCUGGUCUGCGUAAAUGACAGGGUUCUCAUUACAGUGAUUUAUAUCUGGAAUGAUGGGAGUAGAAGAGAUUUAUUUAAAGGAUUAGACGACGCUGACGUUCAACACGUUCAGAGUCACAAACCCUGUUUGUCGCGUAUUUCUGUUCUUGUUAAACCUGAUUUCAGUGUUAAAACACAACACCGUGUAUAAAAUGGGAUAUCUGUGAUAAGGAUCAGCGAACCGAUAAGAUGUUUAAUAGUGUCCCAGUGAACAGAUUGUGUCCUUGUGCUGUGGUUAUUAUGGGAUUUCUGUGGCUGUGCAACACCAACACUACGACUAAACUAAAACUAGUCGGUCCCUCAAAUUAAAAUGACCCCACUUCUGCACUUGUAAACUAACUAAAAUUAAACUGUAAUUUGAAUAGAAAUGGAAUGAAUCGGGUCGACACCAGGUGCGCGGCGCUGUGAUCUACAGAGCUCCAGGAAGAUGCAGGUAAAGACGGAGCUCUGUAAAAAUCGCAGUAUAGAGCUCGAUCUCUGAUUAAAAUGACGCCUCGGUGCUGCUUUGGACCUCAUUGGGUCAUUCCAUAUCAAUUCACACACCCUCCCCAGGUGACCCUCUUCGAUUUGCCUGAUAUUCGACACACAGGUACCUUUUGAUGCCAAUGGAAAGAAUCCCAAGUUUUAGCAUCCUACGUCUAACGGUUUUGGAGAUGAGGCCCUCCAAAGUGUGGGUGCCAUGCCCACUUUUCAAGUCUGUGAAUUGCAUACAGAAUUUACAAGCAUAUUUGGACACCUCUAGUUUUAGAUUGAAAGAAGAUACAGGCCUAAAAAUCGCCAUGUCCCCUCAGCAUGACCUUGUCUAACAGAUGGUGUACUUAAGAAUAGCAUAGCUUGACUGUUUCUGCAUAUAUUAAGCCUUGAAAACUGUAAGUGUGAAAAGGGUGAUGAAGAGUCUUGACAUUUUGGGGUUCCAGAUCUUGGAAACUAUGAAUGCUGUGGGAGGUAUCAUUGAUUUUCCAUCAUAUUUGGUAACUGUACUGUGUAUUCAAAAAAGUGUGCGGACACUCAGACCUUAAAUGACAGAAUAGGAGGUACACAAAAAUGGCUUUGGGAGAAAAUGACCCUACGGUACCCCCUACUUCAUGCUCCAAUUUAACCAUGUGGGCACUUGAUGAGUGGAAUGCCCUUUUAACCCCAUGCACAGUAACACUGUAUCAAACAUUCAAGCUUUGAAGAACUUUGUUUUUCAGAGUUCUUCAUACUAAUUUAGGCCUUCGAAAUAUGGGGAAAUUUGUCCCUUUUUCAUCACAGUAGCUGGGUUUCUGCUGCCAUCUGCUGGCCAAAAAAGUAACAACAGCAUAAAUUAUGAAAACACCCAGGAGGAAGUCACAAGAAAAACACAUUUUUUAUUCACCCAUAAACCAUUUUCACACGCAGAAAGUAUGUUAACUGUUUAACCACAUACUCAUGACAAAAUUGAGGUUAUUGAAAGAUGGGUGUGAGUGUGGAGUGGAAGUGUCUGGUAGAGAUGUAGUGCAGGGCUGAGGCCGUCUUGGGACUGUCACCAUCUUCUCAAUGUGUGACCAUCAUUGAGCACCUCAGUCCUCUGAUGUGUUUGGCUGAGCUGGAUGGCAGGCUGGCUGCAGUCAGGGGAGAGAGGACAAACGAUCAGGUGUGGGUCCAGAGCCAGAAGAGUGGAGUGAUGGGGCAGGGCCUCCAGUGCUGGUUUCAGCAGGAAGAGGCAUCCAGGGCCGGGGGUGGAGUGGAGUAUUGAGGAGUGAAUAUGUGCCGUAUAAGUCUAUCCUUGAAUAUUCAUCCAUCUGGUAGAACUUCAUGACACGUUCUCUAACUUCAGCUGACAGUGGUUUUCCCUUGUUCACAUGCAGCUCACUAAGUAUUCCCUGUUGUUCUCUAACAGUCUUUGCUUUCCUCACCAUAUGAGUAGUGACAGAAAAUUCUUUAGCUACCUUUCUGAUACUCCAUGUAGCUCGGAGAAGUGUGAGGAUCUUGAUCUUUUCUUUUUUUGAUGCCACUUUACACUUCUUGUUAGGUUUAUAUAAGUAUUAAUUCUUGGCCAAGAAUUCAGCAAAAUUAUUCUGUGUCAAAAUUAUAUUAGUUGAAACGACCUUAGGUCCGGCUGGACAUUGUUUGGGAACAUUUUGUUUAUGAAAUGUGUAUUUUGAACAGAGAAGUGUCUGAAGGUCUAUUUUAGUGUCAGAUCGACCCACACACACCCUGAAAUGGUAGAAUUAAAGUUCAUGUUUAUGUUAAUCCAUUCAGUUGAAACUUAGGUCAUAGCUUCAUAAAAGCUAUGAAAUAUACUGAAAUAUAUUGAAAUAUACUAUGGUAGUGAUUUGGAUCCCGUAAUUAAUGAAUGCAUUCCGUGAUUAAUGUUAGUUUUAUAGUUCUAGAUUAGUUUCAUAAUGACAUUAUAAUUAUAGUUAAGAUCUUAUGAUUCUAAGGGUUUUUAAUUUAAAAGCAUUAACCUAAUUUAGUUAUGAGUUUAAUCCUGUUAGUUGUUUAAUUGUUCUCUCUCUUUCAGACAUAUUCUCAUUGUUCUUGUGUUUUAAGUUGUUCUUAUUUUUUAUGUUUAUUUUCUUAUAACAUUCUUUGUUUUAGCAUUAUUAAAGACAUAUUAUUUGUUAUUUUGCUUAUGUUGAUGAAAUCAAGAUGUAAUUUACUGACUGAACACACAUUUAUGUGUUAAGGAGUUAUGUUAAAUUAUUAGAUCCUUUCUGUGCAAACUAAUGUCUUUGACCUUCUCUGAAUAGACUCCGUAGACUAGACAUUCUGUGUUUAGACAUUCCAUGCUGAUAUCUAUCUGUACCUUACUGUCAUCAGAAAUAUGUUUUUAUAUUAUGAUUGAUUCAAGAUCAUUACACACUUCUAGACGCACACCCAUUACACACACACACACACACACACACACAUAUAUAAAGACAAAACAUAAACACAGACACUAUAAGACGUUUUCAAAAAUGUUUUCAUUUUGACGAAGUGACUGUGCGAAUAAACUGACGUGAAUCUCUGA